RNAcentral lists this unclassified non-coding RNA (283 nucleotides) under uncultured Glomus. RNAcentral describes it as "sequence contains ITS2". The stretch from base 1 to 53 matches the Rfam family "5.8S ribosomal RNA", at positions 102 to 154 of the family's 154-position model. Lineage: Eukaryota; Fungi; Glomeromycota; Glomeromycetes; Glomerales; Glomeraceae. The record is from RNAcentral.
GAACGCAAAUUGCACUCUCUGGUAUUCCGGAGAGUAUGCCUGUUUGAGGGUCAGUUAAAUAAAAAUCGGCGUUGUUGCUGCCUUGCGUGGUGACGCAUCGGAUUUGGGUCGUCUUACCUUCGGUUAAGUGACCUAAAAUUUUGCAUGAUUUUUCGAACGUAUUUAAAUUAUUUACGUACGUUUGCGAUAUCGAAUAUUAGGAGUGGUCAUUCUCAUGAUUCGCGCCUAUAAUUUCACAUCAAAAUGACCUCAAAUCAGGUAAGAGUACCCGCUGAACUUAAGC